GACGAACGCUGGCGGCGUGCCUAAUACAUGCAAGUAGAACGCUGAAGAGAGGAGCUUGCUCUUCUUGGAUGAGUUGCGAACGGGUGAGUAACGCGUAGGUAACCUGCCUUGUAGCGGGGGAUAACUAUUGGAAACGAUAGCUAAUACCGCAUAACAAUGGAUGACACAUGUCAUUUAUUUGAAAGGGGCAAUUGUUCCACUACAAGAUGGACCUGCGUUGUAUUAGCUAGUAGGUGAGGUAAUGGCUCACCUAGGCGACGAUACAUAGCCGACCUGAGAGGGUGAUCGGCCACACUGGGACUGAGACACGGCCCAGACUCCUACGGGAGGCAGCAGUAGGGAAUCUUCGGCAAUGGGGGCAACCCUGACCGAGCAACGCCGCGUGAGUGAAGAAGGUUUUCGGAUCGUAAAGCUCUGUUGUAAGUCAAGAACGGGUGUGAGAGUGGAAAGUUCACACUGUGACGGUAGCUUACCAGAAAGGGACGGCUAACUACGUGCCAGCAGCCGCGGUAAUACGUAGGUCCCGAGCGUUGUCCGGAUUUAUUGGGCGUAAAGCGAGCGCAGGCGGUUUGAUAAGUCUGAAGUUAAAGGCUGUGGCUCAACCAUAGUUCGCUUUGGAAACUGUCAAACUUGAGUGCAGAAGGGGAGAGUGGAAUUCCAUGUGUAGCGGUGAAAUGCGUAGAUAUAUGGAGGAACACCGGUGGCGAAAGCGGCUCUCUGGUCUGUAACUGACGCUGAGGCUCGAAAGCGUGGGGAGCGAACAGGAUUAGAUACCCUGGUAGUCCACGCCGUAAACGAUGAGUGCUAGGUGUUGGAUCCUUUCCGGGAUUCAGUGCCGCAGCUAACGCAUUAAGCACUCCGCCUGGGGAGUACGACCGCAAGGUUGAAACUCAAAGGAAUUGACGGGGGCCCGCACAAGCGGUGGAGCAUGUGGUUUAAUUCGAAGCAACGCGAAGAACCUUACCAGGUCUUGACAUCCCGAUGCUAUUUCUAGAGAUAGAAAGUUACUUCGGUACAUCGGUGACAGGUGGUGCAUGGUUGUCGUCAGCUCGUGUCGUGAGAUGUUGGGUUAAGUCCCGCAACGAGCGCAACCCCUAUUGUUAGUUGCCAUCAUUCAGUUGGGCACUCUAGCGAGACUGCCGGUAAUAAACCGGAGGAAGGUGGGGAUGACGUCAAAUCAUCAUGCCCCUUAUGACCUGGGCUACACACGUGCUACAAUGGUUGGUACAACGAGUUGCGAGUCGGUGACGGCGAGCUAAUCUCUUAAAGCCAAUCUCAGUUCGGAUUGUAGGCUGCAACUCGCCUACAUGAAGUCGGAAUCGCUAGUAAUCGCGGAUCAGCACGCCGCGGUGAAUACGUUCCCGGGCCUUGUACACACCGCCCGUCACACCACGAGAGUUUGUAACACCCGAAGUCGGUGAGGUAACCUUUUGGAGCCAGCCGCCUAAGGUGGGACAGAUGAUUGGGGUG
Molecule: ribosomal RNA, 1470 nt
Filed under: Streptococcus thermophilus
Lineage: Bacteria; Bacillati; Bacillota; Bacilli; Lactobacillales; Streptococcaceae
Also listed under: 1 other name
Description: bacterial SSU rRNA
Rfam family: Bacterial small subunit ribosomal RNA
Source: RNAcentral